RNAcentral lists this RNase P RNA (361 nucleotides) under Acidimicrobiaceae bacterium. Its description in RNAcentral is "RNase P RNA component class A". It matches the Rfam family "Bacterial RNase P class A". Rfam says of the family: Ribonuclease P (RNase P) is a ubiquitous endoribonuclease, found in archaea, bacteria and eukarya as well as chloroplasts and mitochondria. Its best characterised activity is the generation of mature 5'-ends of tRNAs by cleaving the 5'-leader elements of precursor-tRNAs. The record is from RNAcentral. Lineage: Bacteria; Bacillati; Actinomycetota; Acidimicrobiia; Acidimicrobiales; Acidimicrobiaceae.
GGAGUUGGCCGGAUGGCCGCGGCGCAUUCGUUGCGCUGAGGAAGGUCGGGACUCCACAGGGAAAGGUGCUGGCUCGCGCCAGUCGAGGCGACUCGAAGGAAAGUGCCACAGAAAACAAACCGCCGAACACGGGUUCCUUGUGCCGUGUUCGGUAAGGGUGAAAAGGUGCGGUAAGAGCGCACCAGCAUCUUGGGCGACCGGGAUGGCUAGGUAAACCCCACCUGGAGCAAGGCCAUGCAGGGAGAGAGCGUCCCGCUCGCAGACACUCCCGGGUAGGCCGCAUAGAUGGAUGGCCAUCCACAGAACUAAUCAAAACAGUUCGGUUCUCAGACAGAAUCCCGCCUAUAGGCCAACUCCUUGU